This 490-nucleotide ribosomal RNA is filed under the name uncultured bacterium. Its description in RNAcentral is "partial 16S ribosomal RNA". It matches the Rfam family "Bacterial small subunit ribosomal RNA", at positions 30 to 507 of the family's 1533-position model. The record is from RNAcentral.
AUUGAACGCUGGCGGCAGGCCUAACACAUGCAAGUCGAACGGUAACAGGAAACAGCUUGCUGUUUCGCUGACGAGUGGCGGACGGGUGAGUAAUGUCCGGGAAACUGUCCGAUGGAGGGGGAUAACUACUGGAAACGGUAGCUAAUACCGCAUAACGUCGCAAGACCAAAGAGGGGGACCUUCGGGCCCCUUGCCAUCGGAUGUGCCCAGAUGGGAUUAGCUAGUAGGUGGGGUAACGGCUCACCUAGGCGACGAUCCCUAGCUGGUCUGAGAGGAUGACCAGCCACACUGGAACUGAGACACGGUCCAGACUCCUACGGGAGGCAGCAGUGGGGAAUAUUGCACAAUGGGCGCAAGCCUGAUGCAGCCAUGCCGCGUGGAUGAAGAAGGCCUUCGGGUUGUAAAGUACUUUCAGCGGGGAUGAAGGGAGUAAAGUUAAUACCUUUGCUCAUUGACGUUACCCGCAGAAGAAGCACCGGCUAACUCCGUG